Long non-coding RNA from Homo sapiens (human), 716 nucleotides. RefSeq lists it as uncharacterized. Lineage: Eukaryota; Metazoa; Chordata; Mammalia; Primates; Hominidae. The transcript has 4 exons. The record is from RefSeq and is a predicted model, not a curated record.
AGUAGACAGCUUUGCAGGCUGUUCUUGUGUUUGCAGUCCCUGUGUAUAGCCUUCUCAAAAUACAAACGGCAUAUUUUGAGGCGAGUGCUGACCUCACCUUGCAAAGCUCUCUGAAGUGUCUGAGCAGAGGGUCCACUCCUCCCCGGCAUACCUUUGCAGCAAUAUCCUGGCAGAUACUUUAUGUCAUGUUGCCAUGAACUGCAUUGUUCUGCCCCAAGCCCCAGGCUACUGGAAAAAAUGGUUGAAGACCUGAAAACUGUGACCCCUGUUGCCUAGCAACUGAGAAGCUCAGCCUCAACUCCGGGUGGGGGAGAUGAUGGAGAAAGGACAAUUGCUCUGAGCUUUCAGUCACCAUGUGAGAAGUCUGGCUACCCUGAGGCCAGCACAUGCAGAGACCACAUGGAGAGAUGAGAGGCAGAGAGAGCCGCCCAAGGAACUCCAGCUGUUCCAGCACCCAGCUGUUUGAAUCCUCCCAGCCCAGGCACUAAACGUGAAUGAAAAGCUCUCAAGACAACCUCAGCCCUCGGACCCAGCCACAGACUGAUUGCCACUGUAUGAGAGACCUCAGAUGAAAACUGUCAAGUGGAGCCCGGCUAGCUAACAGAUUUAUAAGCAAAAUAAGUGAUUGUUAUUGUUUCAAGCCACCAUUUUGAAGUGGCUUUUCUGCAGCAAUAGAUGCCUGGAGGAGUCCUAAUAAUAAAAAUUAAUCAGAUGGA